Molecule: ribosomal RNA, 411 nt
Filed under: uncultured bacterium
Lineage: Bacteria
Description: bacterial SSU rRNA
Rfam family: Bacterial small subunit ribosomal RNA
Source: RNAcentral
ACGGGUGAGUAAUGUCUGGGAAACUGCCUGAUGGAGGGGGAUAACUACUGGAAACGGUAGCUAAUACCGCAUAACGUCGCAAGACCAAAGAGGGGGACCUUCGGGCCUCUUGCCAUCAGAUGUGCCCAGAUGGGAUUAGCUAGUAGGUGGGGUAACGGCUCACCUAGGCGACGAUCCCUAGCUGGUCUGAGAGGAUGACCAGCCACACUGGAACUGAGACACGGUCCAGACUCCUACGGGAGGCAGCAGUGGGGAAUAUUGCACAAUGGGCGCAAGCCUGAUGCAGCCAUGCCGCGUGUAUGAAGAAGGCCUUCGGGUUGUAAAGUACUUUCAGCGGGGAGGAAGGUGUUGUGGUUAAUAACCACAGCAAUUGACGUUACCCGCAGAAGAAGCACCGGCUAACUCCGUGCC